UCCUGAGUUCAGUUCGUAGCUGCGAGAGAAAGGAGCAACACAGUUUUUGACCGUGUGACUGUGAAUUGUUUUAUUUAUUUAUUUUUUCAGCAAACGUUUUCAAACUAUUCAAGCGUUCUGUCAUGCGCGUAUGAAUCAGUGACUCCUGCAGCUAGUUGUGGUGCAAAACAGGAUCAUUUAGACGGAGUGCCACUACAUUAAGUCCAAAACUGCUCCACAAGCAUCUAAGAUGAAGACGAUGGCUAAGCGCUAAUAGCUGUUUCAAAGGGAAAGAGAGAGGCAUCGCUCGGUUCCUCAGUGCAACUACGGUGGCAGACUGCAAGAAGAAGCUUUAGAAAAGAUGAUCUAGACAGUGAUGUUGCUGGCUUCGUUGGCUCUGUGCUACCAAACUCAAGGGCAAAUGAACUGGUAUUGAAGACCAUCCAGACAUUGAGUGUGGAAACCCUGAAAGUCCUGAAUUACGUCCAGGGGGCAGAUCUGGUCAAUGUCCUUAGGCCAGUUGAAGCUGGAAAACUGGAGACCUAUAGCCACACCCAGAGGAACAAUGAGCUCUCUAGCCACACCCAGAGGAACAAUGAGCCCUAUAGCCACGCCCAGAGGAAUGAUGAAAAGUGUCAUGCAGAGACUAUUCAUCUUCCAGUAUGUGUGAGAAAAUGUCUUUGAGCAAUUGAAAAUAAAAUGUGCGUAUUUUCUGAUUA
This is a long non-coding RNA of Pygocentrus nattereri (red-bellied piranha), 698 nucleotides long. RefSeq lists it as uncharacterized. NCBI's taxonomy places the organism in Eukaryota, Metazoa, Chordata, Actinopteri, Characiformes, Serrasalmidae. The transcript has 2 exons. The record is from RefSeq and is a predicted model, not a curated record.